RNAcentral lists this ribosomal RNA (121 nucleotides) under Clostridium yunnanense. RNAcentral's name for it is "Clostridium sp. YIM B02505 partial 23S ribosomal RNA". It matches the Rfam family "Bacterial large subunit ribosomal RNA", at positions 2805 to 2925 of the family's 2925-position model. The record is from RNAcentral. Lineage: Bacteria; Bacillati; Bacillota; Clostridia; Eubacteriales; Clostridiaceae.
UUAGAUUUCCCAUAGCGUAAGCUAGUAAGACCCCUCGAAGAACACGAGGUUGAUAGGUCGGAGGUGUAAGCAUGGUAACAUGUUCAGCUGACCGAUACUAAUAGGUCGAGGGCUUGACCAA